This 71-nucleotide transfer RNA is filed under the name Dallia pectoralis (Alaska blackfish). RNAcentral's name for it is "tRNA-OTHER". It matches the Rfam family "tRNA". From Rfam's summary of the family: Transfer RNA (tRNA) molecules are approximately 80 nucleotides in length. Their secondary structure includes four short double-helical elements and three loops (D, anti-codon, and T loops). Further hydrogen bonds mediate the characteristic L-shaped molecular structure. tRNAs have two regions of fundamental functional importance: the anti-codon, which is responsible for specific mRNA codon recognition, and the 3' end, to which the tRNAs corresponding amino acid is attached (by aminoacyl-tRNA synthetases). tRNAs cope with the degeneracy of the genetic code in two manners: having more than one tRNA (with a specific anti-codon) for a particular amino acid; and 'wobble' base-pairing, i.e. permitting non-standard base-pairing at the 3rd anti-codon position. Lineage: Eukaryota; Metazoa; Chordata; Actinopteri; Esociformes; Umbridae. The record is from RNAcentral.
GGGGAUGUAGCUCAGUGCUAGAGCGCAUGCUUCGCUUGUAUGAUGUCCUGGUUCCAUCCCCAGCUUCUCCA